Molecule: ribosomal RNA, 254 nt
Filed under: uncultured bacterium
Lineage: Bacteria
Description: partial 16S ribosomal RNA
Rfam family: Bacterial small subunit ribosomal RNA
Source: RNAcentral
UACGUAGGGUGCGAGCGUUGUCCGGAAUUAUUGGGCGUAAAGAGCUCGUAGUCGGUCUGUCGCGUCGAUCGUGAAAACUUGGGGCUUAACCCUGAGCUUGCGGUCGAUACGGGCAUGACUGGAGUUCGGCAGGGGAGACUGGAAUUCCUGGUGUAGCGGUGAAAUGCGCAGAUAUCAGGAGGAACACCGGUGGCGAAGGCGGGUCUCUGGGCCGAGACUGACGCUGAGGAGCGAAAGCGUGGGGAGCGAACAGG